GCCUAGGUAGUUCAGUGGCAGAACGCUUUCUUGGUAAGAAAGAGGUCGUGGGUUCAAUUCCCACCCUAGGCU
This 72-nucleotide transfer RNA is filed under the name Candidatus Chisholmbacteria bacterium RIFCSPHIGHO2_01_FULL_49_18. RNAcentral describes it as "tRNA-Thr". It matches the Rfam family "tRNA". Rfam says of the family: Transfer RNA (tRNA) molecules are approximately 80 nucleotides in length. Their secondary structure includes four short double-helical elements and three loops (D, anti-codon, and T loops). Further hydrogen bonds mediate the characteristic L-shaped molecular structure. tRNAs have two regions of fundamental functional importance: the anti-codon, which is responsible for specific mRNA codon recognition, and the 3' end, to which the tRNAs corresponding amino acid is attached (by aminoacyl-tRNA synthetases). tRNAs cope with the degeneracy of the genetic code in two manners: having more than one tRNA (with a specific anti-codon) for a particular amino acid; and 'wobble' base-pairing, i.e. permitting non-standard base-pairing at the 3rd anti-codon position. The record is from RNAcentral. Lineage: Bacteria; Candidatus Chisholmiibacteriota. RNAcentral also lists the same sequence under 1 other name.